This 433-nucleotide ribosomal RNA is filed under the name uncultured bacterium. Its description in RNAcentral is "partial 16S ribosomal RNA". It matches the Rfam family "Bacterial small subunit ribosomal RNA", at positions 29 to 507 of the family's 1533-position model. The record is from RNAcentral.
AACGAACGCUGGCGGCAUGCCUAACACAUGCAAGUCGAACGAUCCCUUCGGGGUUAGUGGCGCACGGGUUCGUAACGCGUUGGAUCCUGCCCUUAUAUCCGGCCUAACUCAGAGAAAUUAGAGCUGAUACCGGAUAAUGUCUCCGGACCAAAGAUUUCUCGCCUUUGGAUGGGCCCGCGUUGGAUUAGCUAGUUGGUGGGGUAAAGGCCUACCAAGGCGACGAUCCAUAGCUGGUCUGAGAGGAUGAUCAGCCACACUGGGACUGCGACACGGCCCAGACUCCUACGGGAGGCAGCAGUGGGGAAUAUUAGACAAUGGGCGAUAGCCUGAUCCAGCAAUGCCGCGUGAGUGAUGAAGGCCUUAGUGUUGUAAAGCUCUUUUACCCGGGAUGAUAAUGACAGUACCGGGAGAAUAAGCCCCGGCUAACUCCGUG